This 887-nucleotide ribosomal RNA is filed under the name uncultured bacterium. Its description in RNAcentral is "bacterial SSU rRNA". It matches the Rfam family "Bacterial small subunit ribosomal RNA", at positions 539 to 1426 of the family's 1533-position model. The record is from RNAcentral.
CGUUAAUCGGAAUUACUGGGCGUAAAGCGCGCGUAGGUGGUUAGGUAAGCGAGAUGUGAAAGCCCCGGGCUUAACCUGGGAACGGCAUUUCGAACUGUCUGACUAGAGUAUGGUAGAGGGUAGUGGAAUUUCCUGUGUAGCGGUGAAAUGCGUAGAUAUAGGAAGGAACACCAGUGGCGAAGGCGGCUACCUGGACCAAUACUGACACUGAGGUGCGAAAGCGUGGGGAGCAAACAGGAUUAGAUACCCCGGUAGUCCACGCCGUAAACGAUGUCAACUAGCCGUUGGGGAUCUUGAAUCCUUAGUGGCGCAGCUAACGCACUAAGUUGACCGCCUGGGGAGUACGGCCGCAAGGUUAAAACUCAAAUGAAUUGACGGGGGCCCGCACAAGCGGUGGAGCAUGUGGUUUAAUCCGACGCAACGCGAAGAACCUUACCUGGCCUUGACAUCCUGCGAACUUUCUAGAGAUAGAUUGGUGCCUUCGGGAACGCAGUGACAGGUGCUGCAUGGCCGUCGUCAGCUCGUGUCGUGAGAUGUUGGGUUAAGUCCCGUAACGAGCGCAACCCCUAUCCCUAGUUGCUAGCAGUUCGGCUGAGAACUCUAGGGAGACUGCCGGUGACAAACCGGAGGAAGGUGGGGAUGACGUCAGGUCAUCAUGGCCCUUACGGCCAGGGCUACACACGUGCUACAAUGGUGCGCACAGAGGGCUGCAAACUCGCGAGAGUAAGCCAAUCUCUUAAAACGCAUCGUAGUCCGGAUCGCAGUCUGCAACUCGACUGCGUGAAGUCGGAAUCGCUAGUAAUCGCGAAUCAGAAUGUCGCGGUGAAUACGUUCCCGGGCCUUGUACACACCGCCCGUCACACCAUGGGAGUGGAUUGCACCAGAAG